This is a long non-coding RNA of Cercocebus atys (sooty mangabey), 1116 nucleotides long. RefSeq lists it as uncharacterized. The transcript has 3 exons. The record is from RefSeq and is a predicted model, not a curated record. Lineage: Eukaryota; Metazoa; Chordata; Mammalia; Primates; Cercopithecidae.
GCCGCUGCUCUCGUGGAAGAACACAGAGCCAAAUGCAUUAAAAAGGAUCAUAAUUAUGAAGAGAAUUAGAAAUGCAAUUCUAAUUGCAGAAGGAGCUUUUUAAACGCUGGAACGUGAAUACAUCACCCGUUAAAAACACGGCUAAUUACUAUUAAAUAGGGUCUACAAUAAUGAUUUGAGGGGUUGGUCAGGGGAAGCCUCUGUGAGGAAGUGGCAUUUGGGAUGAGAGCUGAGUGACAAGAAGGGCCCCCCUUCCCCGCACUCCUGCAAGGAUCUAAGGGGACGAAAUCCCAAGCCUUGCAAUUUACAAAGGUCCAGGGCUGGAGGGGCUGAGGCUGGCGAGAAGCAAGGUUGCAUGGGCCCUGGGCUAGGAUUUCAUUCUGAGGGUGAUGGGAAAUCACUGGUGAGUUUAAUGCAGGGUCAGGCUUGGAUCUGAUUUACAUUUUAACAAGAUGAUGCUGGCUGCUGUGUGGGGGAUGGACUGUAGGUCUGCGCAGGUGGAAGCACGGGAAGACCAUUUAGAAACUGGUGAACUGGACCCAGGGAAAAUGAGAACAGGAGUCCCUAGAGGGCAGCAAACAGCAUCUGCAGCUUGAAGCGAGAGCAGGGAGGCAGAAGCAGUGCUGGAUCACGCUGGACUCUGGCUCAAAGACUCUGCACAGCAACUGACGCCACAAUUAAAUAGACAACGAAGGAACCGAUCGCUCCCGCAGCCAACACUAUAGUUCACCGUGGAGGACCCCGUGGACAGCUCCAAACCUCCCUCUGCAUGACCAUUUCCUGGGCGAAAGUCCUUUGAGCUAGGUGGGAAAUUUGGGCAGUACCCAACCUAUGUGGAGGAACCAUGUCCUGGCACUGGGCAAGUAGGAGAUUUAGAGCAUCAAAUCGAUGCUCGAUCCAACCCAUUGAUCACACCUCACCCCAUCACAGCAAGUUAGGUGUUUCUCUGCUUUUUGUUUGAGGCGUUACGUGAGAAUCUCUUAUCUGUAGGACUCUCCAGGGAGUUGUAUGUUGCGAUUCCAGUAGUGGAAAGAACAAAAUCAAAGCACUGUAUGGUGAAAUCCUCAAAGGGAAGGACCCAGAACUCACAUCCUUCAAGAUAUCAUCUGUACCUCG